This 600-nucleotide ribosomal RNA is filed under the name Triticum aestivum (bread wheat). RNAcentral describes it as "partial small subunit ribosomal RNA". Lineage: Eukaryota; Viridiplantae; Streptophyta; Magnoliopsida; Poales; Poaceae. The record is from RNAcentral.
AUGGCCGAAGAUUUCUUCAACGGCAACAGGCCCAUGGUUACCAAGGAUGGGAAAGACCUGACUUCUGCACUCGAGGUGUUCGUGAACUGGUGUAUCACAGAGGUGCAAAACAAGAUCCAGAGAAGUUUUCAUCCGUCUUCGAGUAACAGGCCCCUCAAGAAGGUAGUGGUUACUAUUCAGAGUUUGCUGGCUACGCGCCCGGAUCCUGUUCUGAUUGGGUCACUUUUUGCUGGUUCAACGGAGGAGCUGGAGGUGUUAAUCAAGAUAUUAUCAGUUCAGCUGGACAUGGUGCUGUUUUAUACCAUGGGAGCAGCUGGGGAUAUGUACUUCGUCUGGCGGGAUCUCCCCAUCGAUCCCAAGCUCUUUCGCGAGAAUAUGCAUCAAAGUUUGGAUAGGGCUCGACAAUCGGCUCAGAAUAUCAAGGGGGCUGUGGAUCUUAUGACCAGGAUUGAGUCUUUUCUUGUUGCAGCACCAGGCAUGUUGAGGGGAGCGUGGACCAAACUGUUGCAUCCAUUCAGUGGCAAAUCGCUUAUCAUUUUCGAUGAAAAAAAAGGAAUGCAAUAUUCAAUUACUUUACUGUGUUUUGGAGAUAUAAUUUAA